RNAcentral lists this ribosomal RNA (484 nucleotides) under uncultured bacterium. RNAcentral describes it as "partial 16S ribosomal RNA". It matches the Rfam family "Bacterial small subunit ribosomal RNA", at positions 28 to 507 of the family's 1533-position model. The record is from RNAcentral.
AUUGAACGCUGGCGGCAUGCUUUACACAUGCCAGUCGAACGGCAGCGCGGGCUUCGGCCUGGCGGCGAGUGGCGAACGGGUGAGUAAUGCAUCGGAACGUGCCCAGUAGUGGGGGAUAGCCCGGCGAAAGCCGGAUUAAUACCGCAUACGACCUGAGGGUGAAAGCGGGGGACCGAAAGGCCUCGCGCUAUUGGAGCGGCCGAUGUCGGAUUAGCUAGUUGGUGGGGUAAAGGCUUACCAAGGCGACGAUCCGUAGCUGGUCUGAGAGGACGACCAGCCACACUGGGACUGAGACACGGCCCAGACUCCUACGGGAGGCAGCAGCGGGGAAUUUUGGACAAUGGGGGCAACCCUGAUCCAGCCAUGCCGCGUGCGGGAAGAAGGCCUUCGGGUUGUAAACCGCUUUUGUUCGGGAAGAAAUCCUCUGGGCUAAUACCCCGGGGGGAUGACGGUACCGGAAGAAUAAGCACCGGCUAACUACGUG